RNAcentral lists this unclassified non-coding RNA (409 nucleotides) under fungal sp. RNAcentral's name for it is "partial internal transcribed spacer region". The stretch from base 1 to 46 matches the Rfam family "Eukaryotic small subunit ribosomal RNA", at positions 1786 to 1831 of the family's 1831-position model. The record is from RNAcentral. Lineage: Eukaryota; Fungi.
AAGUCGUAACAAGGUUUCCGUAGGUGAACCUGCGGAAGGAUCAUUAAUACGUUUCUAAACAGAACGUUUUAAACUCCAAAAUUUGAUAGUGGAAAAUAAACUUCCGGAUGCAUUUGUAGGGAGGUUCAGUGUAAAAACUGACUUCUUUGAAAAAGGCACUUCAAGGUUUCAAGACUUUGACACUUCAGAGUAGAGCAGUGAGGUGAAAAUUCAGCAAUGAGUUUUGGUUCUGAAAUACAUCUGUAUCCGGUUAUUCUCUGUUCUACAACCCUUAAAUUAUCAAACAAUAAACCCCAUGUACAACAACUUGAACUAACCAAUUUUGUUUUCUCCAGCUCUUCGGAGUUUGAGAAAAUGAAGUAAAAUCUGAACUUAACAACAACUCUUAACAACGGAUAUCUUGGUUCUC